UACGAAGGGGGCUAGCGUUACUCGGAUUGACUGGGCGUAAAGGGCGCGUAGGCGGUUUGUACAGUCAGACGUGAAAUUCCUGGGCUCAACCUGGGGGCUGCGUUUGAUACGUGCGGACUUGAGUUCGGAAGAGGGUCGUGGAAUUCCCAGUGUAGAGGUGAAAUGCGCAGAUAUCAGGAGGAACACCGGUGGCGAAGGCGGGUCUCUGGGCCGAUACUGACGCUGGAGGAGCGAAAGCGUGGGGAGCGAACAGGA
Molecule: ribosomal RNA, 255 nt
Filed under: uncultured bacterium
Lineage: Bacteria
Description: partial 16S ribosomal RNA
Rfam family: Bacterial small subunit ribosomal RNA
Source: RNAcentral